CUUGUUUCUUAGAUGCUCAUAUUCCACUACUCACCCAUAGCUAUCCCUGAAUAAAAUUCAUUGGGCAGAGAGGCAAAUAUAUGAAGGUAAGAAGAUGUAGGAUUGAGAUGUAGCAGUUUGAUGUGUUGAUAACUCCUGUGUUACUUCUUCUGGGUCGUUCUUUGUCUUGCAGAUCUCACAAGUUACAGAGCCAUGGAAUUGUCUGAGUUGGAAGGGACCUUUCAAGGUCAUUUAGUCCAUUGAAGUUGUGGACCUUUUUUAGUGACAAUACAAGGUUGGAUGCUGAGAAGAUAGCUGGAGAUCAGCAGAUCCAUGGACUUCCCCUGGUGAUGAAUAUUUCACAACAUAAUGGAGCGAAAAAGUAAAGAACCAAAACUAUAUCAAGAGAUGCUCUGAGGUGGAGAAAAGUGUUGCUUAACUGUUUUAAGUUAUUACUAAGAAUUGAGAAACAUCCCAGAUCUUAGAUUUCCUCUUUGACCACAAUCCAGAGUUUAUGACUCAUGUAUGCACUGACAUUUUCAGUCUGAUUUCCUCUAAUAAGGUAUUUUCGUGAUGUAUCCAGUUUUCAGUAUCUGUUC
Molecule: long non-coding RNA, 578 nt
Filed under: Numida meleagris (helmeted guineafowl)
Lineage: Eukaryota; Metazoa; Chordata; Aves; Galliformes; Numididae
Description: lncRNA (ENSNMEG00000019292.1)
Source: RNAcentral